This 459-nucleotide ribosomal RNA is filed under the name Holconia nigrigularis. Its description in RNAcentral is "partial 16S ribosomal RNA". It matches the Rfam family "Archaeal large subunit ribosomal RNA", at positions 1901 to 2677 of the family's 2987-position model. Lineage: Eukaryota; Metazoa; Arthropoda; Arachnida; Araneae; Sparassidae. The record is from RNAcentral.
AAAAACAUAGUUAAUAGUUAUUAUUAUUAAUAUAUCCUGCUCAAUGAAUAUUAAAUAGCCGCAGUUCAUACUGUGCUAAGGUAGCAUAAUCAUUUGUCUUUUAAUUAAAGACUAGAAUGAAAGGAUAAACAUUUAAUUCCUUUUUAUAAAUUCAUUAAUUAAAUUUAUUUUAAAUGUAAAAAAACAUUUAUAUUCAAGAGAGACGAAAAGACCCUAUUGAACUUAACUUAAGUUAAACUGGGGCAGUUAAUCAAAAAAUAUUUUAAUAAUUUAUCUUCUUUAAAUGACCCGGUCAAACCGAUUAUAUGAUCAAGUUACCAUAGGGAUAACAGCGCAAUAUUUUUCUAUAGAUCUUAUAUAAAAAAAAGAUUACGACCUCGAUGUUGAAUUAAUUUUUCUUAUAAAUGCAACAAUUUAAAAAGAGAGUCUGUUCGACUUUUAAAUAAUUACAUGAUCUGA